Molecule: long non-coding RNA, 157 nt
Filed under: Mustela putorius furo (domestic ferret)
Lineage: Eukaryota; Metazoa; Chordata; Mammalia; Carnivora; Mustelidae
Description: lncRNA (ENSMPUG00000028332.1)
Source: RNAcentral
UGUUUUCCCUUAGUUGAGCAGUUUGACUACAUAUGUGCCCAAUUGCAGAGUAAAUCUUGACUAGCAACUUUCAAAGACCUCACUGAGAACUUUGAGAGUCCCCACAGCAGAGAAAGUGAACAUGAGUGGCAGAUAUCGACAGAAGCAGAGGGAGAAG